AGGUGUUUCUGCACACAGUUCACCACGUGCUACUGGACAGACACCAGCCUGUAAGUAUUUAUGGAAGUUCACAAGUGUGUUUGUUUGGAAAGACAAGAAAUGGAAUGUUGAAGUCAUAUUGAAAGGCACAGGUUUACUCUUUGAGUGCAAAAAUACCACCUGAAAAUGUUUUCAUUUUCAACUAAUGGUCAGUAAAAGAAGGUGUUGAUCGCCAUCCUUAAGAGGACAAACUAAUUUCUGAAAAUAUAAAAAUAUGAACUUGUUUUAUUAAGUCCCAAGCCCUGAAAGGUUUGGCUGUGGAGUUGAAACAAAUUUAUGGCGAAGGGAAACAGGAAGUGUGUUAUAACUUCUGCAUACAUAAACUGAUUUUGAUGAAACAUCAGCUGUGUGUUCAUUGUAGGAGGCCGAUCACAUGGAUGUGACUAUUGUGUGUCAAAGUCAAAGAGCCAACAACUGGCAGCAGGAAGUGUGUCACUUUCAAAAUGCUUUGAAAUCGGCCUAUUAUUUUUACCCGAUUUGCACCGAUUUUACACCUGUGAAAGGAUUCUUGAUAUCUUGAAUACUGUUGUCAUGGCAACCCUGAGGGUUUCUGAGGCAUUUAGCAUGCUUCAAAUUGCAUGAAACUUGACACACACAUCAGAGUUGCCAGGCAGAAGACAUGGGCAAAGCCUUAGAAAUGGGGUGUGGAGGAGGGGCUCUAUAGCGCCACCUUUUGUCUAAAGUUGGGGGUUAGUUUUACCUACAGUCACCAAACUCAGUGCAUAUAUUGUUCUCAUCGAGCCGGACAACUUUCUAAUUCACAGUCAUUAGCUCCAACCAACAGGAAGUCAGCUGGUUUUGUUUGAAUGUGGAUUUUUUGAACCAAGCUCUCAAUUUUUAACUACUGCUCCAAAGGCCAUCAUACAAUUCACACCAAACUUUUUCAACAUGAAGUCAAGACACUGAGGAUGCUAAAUUGCGGAUGGAUAUUGGAUAUCUCAAACGGUUUGGCCGUGGCGAGGCAACAUAUUUAUGGCAAAAAAAGGGAAACAGGAAGUGUGUAUUUUGAUGAAACUUCAGCUGUGUGUUCAUUGGAUGAGAUCAAUCACAUGAAUGUGACUAUUGUGAGUCAAAGUUAUAGUGCCACCAACUGGCAACUGGAAGUGUUUCACUUUCAAAAUGCUUUGAAAUUGCCUUCUUAUUUUUACCCAAUUCACUUCAGACUUCGUCAGAAUAAUGUCAAGACAUGGCAUAUGUAGACCUGUGAAAGGAUUCUUGAUAUCUUAAAUACUGUUGCCAUGGCAACACAUCAAACUUUUAUAAUAUUCUUGGGUGUUGUUGAGGCUCUUAGCAUGCUUCAAAUUGCAUGAAACUCUACACACACAUCAAAGUUGUCGGCCAGUAGACAUGGGCAAAACCUUAGAAAUGGGUGGGGAGGAGGGGCUCUAUAGCACCACCUUUUGACAAAAGUUGGGGGGUUAGUCUUACCUACAGUCACCAAACUUGGUACAUAUAUUGUUCUUAUCAAGCCGGACAACUUUAUAAUUUACAGUCAUUAGCUCCGACCAACAGGAAGUCAGAUAUUUUGGUUUGAAUAUGGAUUUUUUGAAUAAUCAGGCUCUGAUUUUUCGAUCGAUUCAUGCAAUCGCCACCAAACUCAGUCAACAUGAAAUAAAGACACUGAAGAUGCUAAAUUGUGAACGAUUAUAGGAUAUUUUGAACAGUGUUGCCAUGGCGAGGAAUUAAUGACAAAAAAGGGAAACAGAAAGUGUUUAAUAUCACGUGAAAUCAUUGUUUGAUUUAAAUUAAAUUAAGAUUGUAUGUUACCCACCAUGCACAGGUUUCCUUAAGCCACCGGUGUGGCGGUGGCGCUGGGGUUUGGGCCCGUCAUCGCUGCUUGCAGCUAUAUUUGUUAUUGUUCUUUUCUAUAAGGUUUGCAACCUUUUUACAAAACUUUGGGGUGUGUAAAUACAGUUUAGAACCAUAUUUAUGUGAUUGUGUAAACACAAGUAAAUAUCUACAUAAACAGAGGAAACAAUUGCUAUAACAAUUUAUCACGCAGAAUACAGUCCAAAAGUCCCAUUUUAAGAUGGCCAGUGGUCAAUGACUUUUUCAUCCUCUUAAAUGAAUAAGCCUUACAGAAUUUAAACAUGGUAAAUCAUCUUAGUCAAGCUGAGAGUUUGCACUAUGUUGAGCUCUUAGAAUACAGAUGUAACCAUAGAAAUAACUUUGAGGCAUUGACAAGGGAACAACUGACAAUAAAUGUUGCUAAUUUAAACCUAAAGCUCUAUUAAACAUAGCAAGACACUUUGCAUGAACCUCCCAAAAUGUCCGGCUGGCUAUAUACAUACAUAUAUUAUAUAUAUAAAAACAUCAGCCUGUGAAGCUCUCAGUGGUCAGAAUUGAUAUGAAUAGCAAUUAUGCAAUAACCCUCCAGUAAAUACAUUGCUAAUACCAGUGCUAAGCCCCAUCAGAUGAUAAAAAGAUUAAAGCCGUAGCACUUUACAAUAAAGCCCCAUUAGUUAAUGCAUUAACUAAAAAUAACUAACAAUGAGCAAUUCAUUUCUUACCAUUUUUAUUACCAUUAGAUGAUAAAAAUACAACAGCCUUUAUGUGUAAAGCAUUAUCAUAAUGUAUGUUAUAAUGCAUCUUUUCAUAUUUUUCAAAGUUAAAAUACAUUAUAAUAUUCACAGAUUCCUUGUUACAUCAGAAAUUGGUUGUUUGUCAUGUUUUUAAUGCAUUAUACUUUCUAAAGAUGUUCAAUGAAUAGAUCAGUAUUGUAACUGUGGUUUGUGAGAUCAUACAAUGCAUUAUAAGGCAUAAUUAAUGCAUUAAAGAAUAGUGUUACUAGCUUUGACAGUUACAGCAUUGCCUGUUUUAGCCCAUUAUUUUAACAAUUCGGACCACAAAUUUGUCACUCUGAUUGUAAAACCUAAUAUAGUGAUAUUAAUGUCAUUUUUGUGUAAAUGUGAAGCUUCCCAAAUGAAGACCACACAAAGUUGGGAGAACCUGACACCCGUUUGAGCAGCUGGGAGAACGGACGGCCAAGGCCAUGAUUAUAAGUUGCUAUGGUAAGGCCAGUCUCUGCAGGCAGUUUAUCGACACAAAAUAAAACAAGGUGGCGUGUUUUGCGGUUUCUGAAUGCUCCAUUAAUCCUCCAUAUUUGAUAUGCCAACCUGUUAGUGCUUGUCUAUAGCAGACAUGCACUGCUGACCACCGUAAGGCCCCCUGAAGAACGAGUCUGCAUUCUUUCCAGCAAAAGACUUGUUAUUUGUGACCUUUGACUGUGUAACAAGAACCUAUUGAUGGAAGCCUGUCCAUAGAGCAUGUACUCAAGUACAUCAUCUAGAAACAUUUAAAAGCUGCUCUGGUUCUUUAGGCUCAUAUAUAGCAGCAUGAUAACAACAUUUUGAGAAGCUGUGUUAGAUUUAGUGGUCUGGCUGUACAUGCAUAAAUGUUCUCAUAUAUAAUAUCCCAGUUAAUAACAUCAGGAUACAAAAAUGCUGGGUUAAAAACAACCCAAGUUGGGUUGAAAAUGGACAAACGUAGUGAUUGGGUUGUUUUAAUUACACAGCAUGUUGGGCAAACAUUUAACAUUUUUAACCCAGCAUUUUAAGAAUGUAAUUAUGACAGAAUGUUGAGAAUGUUUGGGUAAAUUACAAAUAUAAUUUUAAAUGUACACUAUCCUUAAAAAGUUUGGGGUUGGUAGGAUUUUUUAAAUGUUUUUUGAUGGAAGUCUUUUCUGCUCAUCAUUACAGGAAAAAAAAAAACAACAGUGAUGUUGUGAAAUAUUAUUACAAUCUAAAAUAACUGUCUUCUAUUUGAAUAUAUUGUAAAAUAUUUUUUGUGAUAUAUAUUAAAGCUGAAUUUUUAGUCUUAAGUGUCACAUGAUCCUUCAGAAAUAAUUCUAAUAUGCUGAUUUGCUGCAAAAAGAAACUGAUUAUUAUCAAACAGUUGUGCGGCUAAAUAUUUUCGUGGAAACCUGAUUUUUUUUCUUAGUGUUUCUUUGAUGAACAAAGUUCAAAAGAACAGCAUUUAUUUAAAAUGGAAAUCUUUUGUAACAUUAUAAAUGUCUUUACUGUCACUUUUGAUCAAUUUAAUGCAUCUCUGCUAAAUAAAAGUAUUAAUUUCUUUAAAAAAAAAAGGUGUUGUGGUCAAACCUUGCACUCACGUUUGAUUCAGUGGUCUAGCUGUGCAUGCAAUAUCACAAUGUUCUCAUAUCACAUACCCCAGUUACUGAGCUCUAGUUGCAAAACAAAUUGGUGCAACAGAUCUCGCUGCAAUGCAUGUAUACGUGUCAAAACACUGACUGGUAAUUGAAUGGAGCAUUUUAGCCUGAUGAACCUGAUCCGAUUCUUUAACUCGCACAAAGUGCGAUGCUUAAUGUGCAUUUGAAAUUACAGAAUGGACAUAUCUCGUAUUGUGGUUUAAAAUGCACUUGAUACUGUUUACUGUUGUUAGAAACAAUUAUCACCUAAUGGAAAGAACGCUGAAGAGCUGCACACUUAUCAUCAGCAUCUCAUCUUAUCUAGAAAUCAUUUGGUGAACGUACAGGAAAUGGUUUUAUUUCAAAAGAAGCACAGCAGCAAACUAAUGCAAAACAACCAAUGUUAGAGACAGACAUGAAAAGACGUAAAAAUGCCUGAAGGUGCAAGAUUCUGCUCAGCCUUCUGCUUUAUCUUCACCAUUGAUUGCUUGUUGGUGACACGUGUGAAGGGACAAGACUCUUCCAAUGAUGAACCAGCCUCAGAAAUUAAAUAUGCUGUCAUAGGAGCAGGGAUUGGCCUUUUCUUCUCCAUCUGCUUUCUGCUAAUGAAAAUCUACAUAAUCAAAAAGCAGAUGGUUGACAAUGAACCAUCAGAUGUAUCAGAAAGAAGAGCAUCUUCACGGGCCAAUGAUGUGGAAAGCAGGAGGGACUGAAAUGUCUUUUGAGGAUUAAUUAAUAUUAUGAUAUUAUGCUCAGAGGAGAACACAAUCAAAUGUCAUUUUAUGACAGAUUUUAUACUGAUUUAUUUAUUAAAUAGUGGCCAAUUUAGGCCUGAACAAUAAAUGUUUGAAUAUUCAGCAUGUGCCUUCAUGAGGACUUUUUGUGCUUUUUACACUGAGAGCCACAACUGCUCUUACAUGAGUAAAAUGUAUAUAUUUAUAUACAUCAACUAAUAUACUGCAUGUAUCAAGAGCACAAGAGGUUUAAGCCAGCUUGUCUUUUCAUUUCUUUGCCUCUGUUGUGUGACAAUUUCUAUGCAUAAUCAAACUGUGUUUGUAAUUAUCAAUAAAAAAUGAACAGCUCCUUCCA
Molecule: long non-coding RNA, 5275 nt
Organism: Ctenopharyngodon idella (grass carp)
Lineage: Eukaryota; Metazoa; Chordata; Actinopteri; Cypriniformes; Xenocyprididae
Exons: 5
Source: RefSeq, a predicted model, not a curated record